GUUGAGAGUUGUCCCAUAUUGGUGAGGGACAAUGUUUGCUAUGUGCUUAUAUGGUCUUGGGUUACUCCUCAUAUUGCCAAUUGGUUUUAUGGUGGAACCUCAAUUUCAUCAUGGUAUCAGAGCGGGUUAUCCUCGUGUGAAGCCAAACGGCCACACGAGCUCUACGUCACCCAAUUGUUGUCCACGUGUAGGCUUAAAAAUCCGCCACACGUACGGAAAAUCCGCCACACGUACGGGGGCGUGUUGAGAGUUGUCCCACAUUGGUGAGGGACAAGGUUUGCUAUGUGCAUAUAUGGUUUUGGGCUACUCCUCAUAUUACCAAUUGGUUUUAUGGUGGAACCUCAAUUUCAUCAGACGUCUCAACACAAUUCUCGGCGUCAUGGUUCUAUUCACAUACCAUUUUUAACCUUCCACACAAACUUUGCUAAUUUUUUAUUUUUCCAAUACUUUAAUUCAUUCAAUUCGAUGGCUGAAAAUGGAAGAGUGUGAAAGAUAAAAAAAAAUCAAUAUAAUUACACUAACACCUCUUAAGGUCUAUCAUAUUUUAACAAAACCCCUCACAUUUAAAACAUUACACUAACACCCCCUGAUGUUCUAGUUCACUUACAUAACCCCUCAAUGACACGUUUACCUUUAAGGUGAUGUCAGCUCUACAGGUGUUGUAUAAAAGUGAAUCAGAACCUCAGAGAGUUACUGUAAUGUUUUAAACGUGAGAGAAUUUUGUUAAAAACCAAUAAAUCUAGAGGGUGUUAGUGUAAUUAUGCAGCACCACCCUAACAAUAAUAAACUACCUUAACCGAUCAGAGAGUCCCUUAGACCUCUGUUUGGAACAGAAAGUGCAAUCCCAGAAAACAAGAAUCGUACAUAA
Molecule: long non-coding RNA, 868 nt
Filed under: Malus domestica (apple)
Lineage: Eukaryota; Viridiplantae; Streptophyta; Magnoliopsida; Rosales; Rosaceae
Description: long non-coding RNA (MDOM_LNC020967)
Source: RNAcentral